GACGAACGCUGGCGGCGUGCUUAACACAUGCAAGUCGAACGGAAAGGCCCUGCUUUUGUGGGGUGCUCGAGUGGCGAACGGGUGAGUAACACGUGAGUAACCUGCCCUUGACUUUGGGAUAACUUCAGGAAACUGGGGCUAAUACCGGAUAGGAGCUCCUGCUGCAUGGUGGGGGUUGGAAAGUUUCGGCGGUUGGGGAUGGACUCGCGGCUUAUCAGCUUGUUGGUGGGGUAGUGGCUUACCAAGGCUUUGACGGGUAGCCGGCCUGAGAGGGUGACCGGGCACAUUGGGACUGAGAUACGGCCCAGACUCCUACGGGAGGCAGUAGGGGGGAAUAUUGCACAAUGGGCGGAAGCCUGAUGCAGCAACGCCGGGUGCGGGAUGACGGCCUUCGGGUUGUAAACCGCUUUCGCCUGUGACGAAGCGUGAGUGACGGUAAUGGGUAAAGAAGCACCGGCUAACUACGUG
RNAcentral lists this ribosomal RNA (468 nucleotides) under uncultured bacterium. RNAcentral's name for it is "partial 16S ribosomal RNA". It matches the Rfam family "Bacterial small subunit ribosomal RNA", at positions 28 to 507 of the family's 1533-position model. The record is from RNAcentral.